Molecule: unclassified non-coding RNA, 395 nt
Filed under: soil metagenome
Description: partial contains 5.8S ribosomal RNA, internal transcribed spacer 2, and large subunit ribosomal RNA
Rfam family: 5.8S ribosomal RNA (bases 1-121)
Source: RNAcentral
GAUGAAGAACGUAGCGAACGUGCGAAACGUAAUGUGAAUUGCAGAAUUCAGUGAAUCAUCGAAUCUUUGAACGCAUCUUGCGCUCCUUGGUAUUCCGAGGAGCAUGCCUGUUUGAGUGUCGUGAAUACUCUCAACUUCAACCCUUUUUUCGGAAAGGGAGGAAGGUUGGACUUGGGUGUUUGUUGAAGUGCGAGCUUCGACUCAUCCUAAAUGCAUUAGCGAUCUGCCUCGAUCACACACAAUGUGAUAAUUAAAACUAAAGCAUUGUUUAAUGAUCAAGUCGAGACUGCUUCUAACUGUCGCAAGACAAUAACGUGCAUACAUUUGUGCAUGUCAUUUGACCUCAAAUCAGGUAGGACUACCCGCUGAACUUAAGCAUAUCAAUGAGCGGAGGA